Molecule: long non-coding RNA, 3043 nt
Organism: Gorilla gorilla gorilla (western lowland gorilla)
Lineage: Eukaryota; Metazoa; Chordata; Mammalia; Primates; Hominidae
Exons: 2
Source: RefSeq, a predicted model, not a curated record
GGGCGUCCUGGUUUCCGGUUUGGGUGCGGCCGCAUGGCGUGCUGUGGUGCAGGUGGCCGAAGGGGGCGUUACUGUUGCGACUGGCAUCCGCAUCCGGCAGAUGUAGCUGGAACCAAAGUCCACAAGUUACGCGUCACCCUUGCUCUACAGCCAAACAUGCAGGACUCUAGUAACCUGCGAAAUGAUGGGAUAGCGUUGCAAAUCCUUAAAAGAGUCUUACGAAAUCCUGGCUGACAUUGACUUCUCCACUGCAACCAUCGAGUUCAUUGUCUCCUAAACCUUGCCAUGGAGGCCUGUGGCACCUGAGCCAGCCAUUAUCAUCACCAGCACUUCCAUGAGCUACAAGCUGGACCCACUGCAGUCCUCCUGACACACUGAAAUCAGAGCCUGCACACAGAGCAGCAGAUGCUUCAAUGUAAAGGUCAUUUCCAGGUCCUUGACAGGCGUGCAUCUGGGCCAGAUCCAUGGCAAUAACCUUCAGGUUGAGGCUAGAGGGCUUCAGAUGGGCAGCUUCGAAUGACAGGAGCAAGGACCAAGAGGCCGGAAAGGGAGGGUGACAUUUUCAGCAUCUAUAAGAUCAACUUUAGAAAUAUUUGGGGGUUGACAAAUUCCCAUCAAGCUCUGUGGAUCUUGUACAACUGCUCACCACCGGCUUCUCAUCAGCACAUGAUUGGUGCAGGGUUCUGAGGAUGAUUUUGAGAUGUUCCCUGAUGUGGUCUUGUGAGAUUUCAUGACAGAUGGCAGGAAGCUUCGUGGAGAGAUUUCUGAAGACACUCCUGAGCUCCCAACACCGGGCAACUCUCUUGCAGAGGAUAGUGGGGUGGAGGGUAGAAGAGAGGCAAAGUCAGGUUUGUCCUUCAGAUCCCCUUCAUUCUCCUUUUGCCACUGUAAACCAACUUUUGCUUACAGUUAGACACCAGUUUUCGGCAGAUGAAAUCCCUCUGAUUUCAGGCAUUUUGUCAAUUAAGCUGCUCAGCAAAAAUAGGAUAAACUUAUGAAAAGAAAGGAGUAGCAGUCCCACAGACAAAGCAUCCAGCCCCUGCACUGAGACAGUAUAGGGAAGGGACUUGGUCCUGGCAGACAAGACAGAUAAUCAACAUCCUAGUGGGCCUCACACAUGUGGGCAUAUUCUUUUCCAUACCUUCUUGUCUCUUUUAACAAGCUAACCCCAGUCACAGUAGCAGAGAGAGGGUCCAUCCUAACUUAGCUGACCAGGCUGGAUUCCUAAUCAUAAAACCAAAAAAGGAAGAACCUAACCAUUUAUCUCUUUCAGCUAUGUGUUCCAAGAUUACUGAAGCAGGAUUCUGGCCUUCCUGAUAAUAACAUGACCAGAUCCAGCUGGUUUGCAACAAGAUGAACUUCAGUGCUGAGCUUUCACCAAGUUUUUCUCAUUACAAUCGCAUUGUAAUACUAAAAUCUCCACCCAAGAUGGAGGUUAUCUGCCAUUUUCUGUACAUGUGUUACCAGAAAGGGGUCCUGAUCCAGACCCCAAAAGAGGAUUCUUGGAUCUCAUGCAACAAAGAGUUCGGGGCGAGUCCAUAGAGUAAAGUGAAAGCAAGUUCAUCAAGAAAGCAAAGGAAUAAAGAAUGCCUACUCCAUAGGCAGAGCAGUGGCUUUGGCUGCUCAGCUGCUUGUACUUGUUACUUCUUGAGUAUAUGCUAAACAAGGGAUUGAUUACUCCUUGUUUAGCAGUUUUCUGGGAAAGGAGUGGGCAAUUCCCAGAACUGAGGGUUCCUCCCCUUUUUUAGACCAUAUAGGGUGACUUCCUGAUGUUGCCAUGGCAUUUGUAAACUGUCAUGGCGCUAGUGGGAGUGUCUUUUAGCAUGCUAAUGCAUGAGCAGUGAGGAUGACCCGAGGUCAUUUUUGUUACCAUCUUGGUUUUGGUGGGUUUUGGCUGGUUUUGGCCGGCUUCUUUACCACUUCUUUUUAUCAGCAAGGUCUUUGUGACCUGUACUUAGUGCCGACCUCCUAUCUCAUCCUGUGAGUAAGAAUGCCUAAUCUCUCAGGAAGGCAGCCCAGUAGGUCUCAACCUUAUUUUACCCAGCCCCCAUUCAAGAUGGAGUGACUCUGGUUCAUGCGUGGUCAAAUGCCUCUGACACAUGCGCCUCAUGUUUGGGCAUGAGACCUCACUGUGUAGGUGCAGAGAAGACCCUGCCUAAACAUUGCCUAACGUUGCUCCUUUUUCCUGCCUCAACUUCCUUAAAAUGACAAGAGCAGAGCCCUUUUGGGAGCUAACAUCAGGACUCCUUUUUUGUACUCUGCUCCGUUGUGCUGCUAGAGCCACAAGCCUAUUAAACUUUGCCUGAAAUAAAUUCCUAUUUGCGCUGGUGUUAAUUUUUACUUAUGAGUGAGCCAAGAACUCAGGCCAGAGUUGCGGUAACACCACCAGAAGAGGUCUCCGCUUGUCAGACUUGAGGGAUAUCAUCAAUGAGCCUCUGAGCUAAUGGUGUAAACCAAAAAUAAAAUUCUAAGCCCCCCGCCAGCCAAACCAUCUGAAUGGACUUCCUCCUCAGCCAGGGCGCUCUUAAAAUUUAACCUGAGAGACUGGUUCAGGUCAUGAUGGGAAGUAGGGGUUGGACAUGCCUCAUUAUACCUCUCCAGCAUUAACAUCAACAUAAACCCUAAGUCUAAGAAACUUUUACAACCUAUUCUCUCUGAAGCCGACUACCUUGGAGGCUUCAUAUGUUUCAUAAAAUUUUGGUCUCCACAACCUCUUACUUCAACCCAGAUAUUUCCUUUCUAUUGAUCCCAGGUCUUUAGAUAAACUUAACCAAUCGUCAACCAAAAAUUUUUAAAAUCUGCCUAUAAACUGGAAGCUCCGCACUCCACUCCCCUCCCCGCCCUUCGAGUUGUCCUGCCUUUCUGGACAGAACCAAUGUAUUUCUUAAAUGUACUUGAAGUCUCAUGUCUCCCUAAAAUAUAUAAAACCCAGCUGCUCCCUGACCACCUUGGGUACAUGUUCUCAGGGUCUCCUGAGGGCUGUGUCAUGGGUUAUAGUCACUCAAAUUUGGCUUAGAAUAAAUCUCUCCAAAUAUUUUACAAA